Molecule: ribosomal RNA, 404 nt
Filed under: Actinomycetes bacterium
Lineage: Bacteria; Bacillati; Actinomycetota; Actinomycetes
Description: Actinobacteria bacterium partial 16S ribosomal RNA
Rfam family: Bacterial small subunit ribosomal RNA
Source: RNAcentral
UGGGGAAUAUUGGACAAUGGGCGCAAGCCUGAUCCAGCCAUGCCGCGUGAGUGAUGAAGGCCCUAGGGUUGUAAAGCUCUUUCACCGGUGAAGAUAAUGACGGUAACCGGAGAAGAAGCCCCGGCUAACUUCGUGCCAGCAGCCGCGGUAAUACGAAGGGGGCUAGCGUUGUUCGGAUUUACUGGGCGUAAAGCGCACGUAGGCGGACUUUUAAGUCAGGGGUGAAAUCCCGGGGCUCAACCCCGGAACUGCCUUUGAUACUGGAAGUCUUGAGUAUGGUAGAGGUGAGUGGAAUUCCGAGUGUAGAGGUGAAAUUCGUAGAUAUUCGUUGGAACACCAGUGGCGAAGGCGGCUCACUGGACCAUUACUGACGCUGAGGUGCGAAAGCGUGGGGAGCAAACAGG